This 421-nucleotide ribosomal RNA is filed under the name uncultured bacterium. Its description in RNAcentral is "bacterial SSU rRNA". It matches the Rfam family "Bacterial small subunit ribosomal RNA", at positions 356 to 774 of the family's 1533-position model. The record is from RNAcentral.
GAGGAAUAUUGGUCAAUGGGGGCAACCCUGAACCAGCCAAGUCGCGUGAAGGAUGAAGGUCUUAUGGAUUGUAAACUUCUUUUACACGGGAAUAAAGCGGGGGACGUGUCCCUCUUUGCAUGUACCGUGUGAAUAAGGAUCGGCUAACUCCGUGCCAGCAGCCGCGGUAAUACGGAGGAUCCGAGCGUUAUCCGGAUUUAUUGGGUUUAAAGGGUGCGCAGGCGGGAUGUUAAGUCGGCGGUGAAAUUUUGCAGCUCAACGGUAAAAGUGCCUUCGAUACUGGCCUUCUUGAGUGUGGAUGAAGUAGGCGGAAUUUGUGGUGUAGCGGUGAAAUGCUUAGAUAUCACGAGGAACUCCGAUUGCGCAGGCAGCUUACUAAGCCACAACUGACGCUCAUGCACGAAGGCGUGGGGAUCAAACA